Molecule: ribosomal RNA, 112 nt
Filed under: Lupinus angustifolius (narrow-leaved blue lupine)
Lineage: Eukaryota; Viridiplantae; Streptophyta; Magnoliopsida; Fabales; Fabaceae
Source: RNAcentral
AGUGGUGGAAUCCGCUUUCAAAAAUCCGAUAGAACUCCAUAGUUUAGCAUAUUUGGGCGAGAAUAGUACUAGGAUGGGUUACCUCAUGGGAAGUCAUCAUGUUUCACCUCUU